Molecule: non-coding RNA, 377 nt
Organism: Coturnix japonica (Japanese quail)
Lineage: Eukaryota; Metazoa; Chordata; Aves; Galliformes; Phasianidae
Source: RefSeq, a predicted model, not a curated record
CAGGCUGCGCUGCCCCGGCUCCAUGUCUGGAGAGGAAGGCAAGGAGGGUCAAGCCAGGCAGGCUGACAAGCCCUUCUGCCCGUGCCUGCUCACCCAGCACUGCAGUGCCCUGGUUCAGCGUUGGUGCCUGUGUUCCUGGCUCACGCGGGAGUGAAGAAGCCCUUGGGCAGUUGUUGAAGGAAAGCAGCAGGGAGCUGUUGCUGCAUCCCAGGACCUGGUACAUCCCUUUCGGGUUGGGUACCCACAAUGGCUCUCGGUUUGGAGGUACGGAGCAGCUCUCUGUGCAAUACCUUCCCAAAGGCACCCUAAUUCAAGGUAAGAUGGAGGGUUUUUAAAUCCCCCUGCAGUACAAAUACAAAAUAAACCAAAUGCCAGCA